UUUCCGUAGGUGAACCUGCGGAAGGAUCAUUAAAAAUGAAGCCAGGAAACCGGUCCUUCUAACCCUUGAUUAUCUUAAUUUGUUGCUUUGGUGGGCCGCGCAAGCACCGGCUUCGGCUGGAUCGUGCCCGCCAGAGGACACAACUCUGUAUCAAAUGUCGUCUGAGUACUAUAAAAUAGUUAAAACUUUCAACAACGGAUCUCUUGGUUCUG
Molecule: unclassified non-coding RNA, 212 nt
Filed under: plant metagenome
Description: partial contains small subunit ribosomal RNA, internal transcribed spacer 1, and 5.8S ribosomal RNA
Source: RNAcentral